UUGGGUCCUGACAGUCCCCGCGUCCUCUCGCACUCGGUCCGCCCCUCUCACCGAUGGCGCCGUCCGUGUCCGCCUGCCUCUGCCGUCUCCUUCCUCGCUCAUCUUCUUCUCCCCGCUCACGGCCUUCACUCCCCUCUCUGUCCCCGUCUGACCCAGAUGCGCCCGUAGUCCGCCGGCGCCAGCGGCGCCGCAGGUGGAGCAGACGCGGCUAGGAGGAGCACGAGCCACCGCCGCCAUCUACCCGACGGCGAUGUGAAGGAAGCAACCAGAGAUGGAGGGCGCCGCCGGCGCUGUGACCCCGGGCGGGCCAAACGGGGUGUGCGACACCAACAGCCUGCCAGUGUGUGCUCGCCUCCGCAGGUUCGCGCCGCGGUCGCCGGAGGAGUGGGCACCGCAGCGUCGAGCAAGGCUACCCUGCUCACCUAGGGAUUUUCCUCCAUGGCCGCCAAACUAAAUGUCUCAGUCCCAGGGCAGUGGCGGAGCUACGGGCCAAUGGUUGGGCGGGCCAACUAGAGAAGAGCACAUGAAUUUUUGCACUCGCGACCUAUUUCUCUCUCAGGCACAUUGAUUUGAACAAAUCUGGGCGGGCCACUGCCUUGUUUUGCUUCGACAAAGCUCCGCCUUGCCCAGGUGAACUCGUGCACCUUUUGAACCUGCUCUCUACCACGAUUCAUAUUUUUCUGCAUCAGUUUCAUUCCUACAAGUGAUGAAUUGUCUAUUUGCCACAUUGCUGCCCCAGGUAUGUCCCAAGUGAACUGGCUUAUUGCGAUGAUUUGGUCGAUUCAGACUUCUCUUUAUUUUGAAUGGCUUUCACCUUUGGGCAAUUCAAUUGAUGGAAGGUGUUGUUUCAAUGAUAUUGAAGCUUUUUUAGGGAAUGGCGUUCUCGAUGGCCGGGAGGGACCGGCUCGGCCUCCAUGGCCUGCUCCCGCCCAGUGUCGUUUCCUUGCAGCAGCAGAUGACCGAUUCCCUGCCGUACUCUCAAGUUUAGUCAUUGCAUUUACUGAUGUCGAGGUGGACGAGGAUCUUCUCGGCCCUGCUCUGAUAUUGUGAAAACUCAUGCUGCCGACAGCCGCCUCCAUGCUCCAACUUUUGCAGCCUGUAGGUAGCCUCUCUGUUCUUUUGUCUGUACCUUUCUGCUUGCUUUGCUAAUGUGUUAGGUGUGUGCUUGGCUGCUUAAUACUUGCGCUGAAAUUGUAUGAAUGGCAGCAAGGUGUAGCAACAGCCAACAUUAGGCCGGCUCAGUCCUAGCAGCAAAUUUCUUUGUUGUUCUAUAUUAUUCAACCAUAUGUUUAUAUCUUUCUGGUGAUGCAUUUGUUUCUAAUUGACAUUUCAGUAUAAGCUCGCAUUGAUCCUCGGUGGUGAGAAAAGUUUACUACUACAAGUCCAGUUUGUUUAGUGUCCCAGAAAAAGUUGACUACUCAUGCAUGCUAGACACACAACUUAUUUGAUUCCUAUUGCCAUAUAUCAACCUAGCUGAACUAAAGAGCAAGGUAAAUCAGUACUUCCAACUACACUAAAUUGUUGCUUCCACAAAAUACCUUGCUGAUUUCUAUCCACUCAGAGCAGAUCAUAACCCUUUUCAUGGAAUAAUGUAUAAGUUUAGAUCUGAAUAGAUGCUAAGGCAUAAUCAAUAUCGAAUAUCUGUUGGUAACUUGGUAUACAUUCCAGAGUUAUCAUUAUAAAGAGCAAGGGUUUAUGCCUUUCCAAAUUAAUUAUGUAUUUUAUCCUUGAGGCUUCUUCUGUUAAUGUAAAUGCUCUUCCUUACCGGUAUGUAGGGUUAUAUGUAUGUUUAUAGAUUUUAUUCAUUUUUUAUUUUAGUGCAUUAAAAUUGUGAUGUCCUUUCUUACUAUCAUAUUGUUUGCUUAAAACAAAGACUGAUAAACCUUCUCCCAUUGUAUCCACUCCCGUAUCGUUAUUCUUCACUGGAAAUUUAUGGGCAAGUGUGAAGAAAUGAGAAUGUAGUUCUUAAACUAAAAUUUCUAUAAACAUGGAAAGUGGAAGUUUUAUUAUUAUUUUUCAUAAAGUUUCAGGCACGACAAACUAUGGGGGUCCUAAUAUUUUCCUUUCAUUUAAUUUGGCUUAUAAAGAUUUCCAGUGGGCAUUUAGGCGGUUAGGCCUAAGAACUUCCUUAUGAAUUUAUCACAGAAAUGAGAUAACAAAAGAUCUAAAUUGCUUUUUGUUCUUUGUUUAUUUUUGAAAGACUUAGCAUGUCAUGUAGGACUGGUUGGUAGUGUAAUGGCCUCUAACAAGCAGAGGAAAUGAAUGAUUAUAUAAUGAUAUUGGAAAGAGGACCAACUAAUAUUGAUAAAGACUUGUCUUUUCUUUUGUUCGGACUAUACUGAAUAAGAAUACACAAGAAAGACCAGGACUAACAUAAGUGAAAAAUGUUAACAAUAUUUAGUCUGUCCAGUCAUCAAAACAUGAAACUUGUUUCUGGUUCCACUCUAAUAAUCGCCUUCAAAAACCAAAGUUGAAACAGUUAUCAUUUAAUCAUUUACAGUCAUGUUGUACAUGCUGGUUGAAGCAAGCGACAAUCCGGCAGUAGCAGUUGGCGGUGAGCUUUUUCAGAUUUCCGCCUCUGAGUGAUCAGUUUAUGAAGGCAAGAUUAAACCAGCCUUAAAUCUCAUUUCCUAUAAAGUUUUGCUGUAGAGUGGUCAGUUUUUGCAUGUCUAUUACUUGCAUAUUAAAAAAACCCGUCUUACCACUCUCCCCUGAAGGAAUACCAUCUUUUUAUGAAUUUUUUUGUUUACCAUUAAUGCUUUCAUGCUUGAUCGUUCUUGAUAAAAUGUCACUCUACCUCACGGGGUGCAAUAUGGCAUUAUCUAAUGCUCAAUGGAAAUAGGUCUUAGCAUCAAGUAGUAUAAACAUCAUAAGGAAUGAUGGGAUAUUGAUUACAAAAACACCAUCAGCAUGGCAGACUUUGUCUUGUGAGAAAUAUAAUAAACUAAAAAACAGUCUGUUGCUAGUCUCUAAUUUCACAUGGAUAUUUGGAUUUUGGGAUGCAUGUGUAGUUUCAGUAAUGACAUAAUUUUUGCAACUUGAAGGACAAACUAGACACUUUAAUCAAGCAAAUUAAGAAGGAUAAAAACAGGGCAGGUGAGUCCAAAGAUAUAUCAGAUGUUAAGGACAUCUGCAUUCUUCUAGAGGCUAUACAGACAAAAUCUGGACAAUAUACCCCUCCACAGCAGACAUGGGAGCUCGAGUGCAACACGCGCAAGAUUCUAUUUGGAACACGCAAGCAUGAAAAGGUGUUGCAGGCGUCCAAUCGAGCUCCGCAGCAUCGAGUGCCUUGCUGUUUAUGUAGAUGUGGUACAUGUCUGAAUUUGUGCUCUCUUUUGGUAGAUAUAUGGUACGUAAAGACGGAUCACAUCACUGUCUGUUUAAAUGCAUGAAAUCCGGUACUGAAUUGUCUAAGUUACUGUCUGAGAUUCAAUUUGUGCUUCAUUUUACUUGAUGUGGUAUGCAAUGACAAGGCGGAACAUGUAUAAUUUUUGGUGCCAACACUGGGGGAUCACACUGUUUCUGCUUCAGACGAGUGUUGUUUGAUCAAGUAUUUGUUGGCAACUGUUUCUUA
Molecule: RNA transcript, 3574 nt
Organism: Triticum aestivum (bread wheat)
Lineage: Eukaryota; Viridiplantae; Streptophyta; Magnoliopsida; Poales; Poaceae
Exons: 8
Source: RefSeq, a predicted model, not a curated record